CCCUUAGAUGUUCUGGGCCGCACGCGCGCUACACUGUUCGACGCAGCGAGUCUUAACCUUGACCGAAAGGUUUGGGUAAUCUUCAGCAAAGUCGAACGUGAUGGGGAUCGAUCAUUGCAAUUAUUGAUCGUGAACGAGGAAUUCCUAGUAAGUGCAAGUCAUCAGCUUGCGCUGAUUACGUCCCUGCCCUUUGUACACACCGCCCGUCGCUACUACCGAUUGAAUGGUUUAGUGAGAUCUCUGGAUUGACGCUGGCUAGGGGGCGACCCUUGGCCGGACUGUUGAGAAACUGCUCAAACUUGAUCAUUUAGAGGAAGUAAAAGUCGUAACG
RNAcentral lists this ribosomal RNA (331 nucleotides) under uncultured eukaryote. Its description in RNAcentral is "partial 18S ribosomal RNA". It matches the Rfam family "Eukaryotic small subunit ribosomal RNA", at positions 1470 to 1796 of the family's 1831-position model. The record is from RNAcentral.